GUGGGGAAUCUUAGACAAUGGGGGCAACCCUGAUCAGCCCAUGCCGCGUGAGUGAUGAAGGCCUUAGGGUCGUAAAGCUCUUUCGCCUGUGAUGAUAAUGACAGNAGCANGNAAAGAAACCCCGGCUAACUCCGUGCCAGCAGCCGCGGUAAUACGGAGGGGGUUAGCGUUGUUCGGAAUUACUGCGCGUAAAGCGCGCGUANGCGGAUUAGAAAGUUGGGGGCGAAAUCCCGGGGC
Molecule: ribosomal RNA, 237 nt
Filed under: uncultured bacterium
Lineage: Bacteria
Description: partial 16S ribosomal RNA
Rfam family: Bacterial small subunit ribosomal RNA
Source: RNAcentral